CAGCCGCCGCGGUAAUACGGAGGAUCCAAGCGUUAUCCGGAAUCAUUGGGUUUAAAGGGUCCGUAGGCGGUCUUGUAAGUCAGUGGUGAAAGCCCAUCGCUCAACGGUGGAACGGCCAUUGAUACUGCAGGACUUGAAUUAUUGGGAAGUAACUAGAAUAUGUAGUGUAGCGGUGAAAUGCUUAGAGAUUACAUGGAAUACCAAUUGCGAAGGCAGGUUACUACCAAUUGAUUGACGCUGAUGGACGAAAGCGUGGGUAGCGAACAGGAUUAGAUACCCCGGUAGUCCCUGUCUCUUAUAA
RNAcentral lists this ribosomal RNA (301 nucleotides) under uncultured bacterium. Its description in RNAcentral is "partial 16S ribosomal RNA". It matches the Rfam family "Bacterial small subunit ribosomal RNA", at positions 509 to 809 of the family's 1533-position model. The record is from RNAcentral.